GAAUGCUGAAUCAAACUUGCAAACUCUGCCACCGUUGCUGCUCAUGUCUCUUACUGCACUCUCCUCACCCCAAGUACUCUUUUUUAAUGAUCACAAAAAAUAUAUAUAUUAAGUUGGGUUCUGCAAGAAAAAUUGAUCAGCAACUUAUAGAGCUGAGAGAUUGUUGAGCUCUUGAGACUUUAAGUGACACUUUGUUCGUUGGGUUUGGGUAAUUAUAUAGAUAAAUAAUAGAGAGCUGUUAAAAAGGUAGAAUUAUUUUUUUGGAAAAUUAUCUCAGCAUCUUUUCUUUUAUUACAUGUACAUUUAACUACUAUAAAGUUUUGACAUAUUUUUUUACACCACCUUUAUUUCUAAACUUAUAUCAAUCAAUCACUUUUACAUUAACAAAUUUAGAAUCCAUUAAAUAAUUUAAAUAAGAUGACCGUUUGCUCCUAAAUGAAUAAAAAAAAUUAUUUUAUCCUACAAAAUUUUGAAAAAUAAAAAAUAUAAUUACAAGAAUAUCCUUAAAUUUAAUAAAACAAAUAAAUAUCAAAAUCCAAGAUGUUAAUUUUGUAACUAUAAUUUUUAAAUUAUACUGAAAAUUAUCAUUUAAAAAUUAUAAUUACGAAAAUGAACAUCUUGAAUUUAAAGAUUUAUUUGUUUUAUUAGAUUCAGGGUAUUCUUAUAAUUAUAUUUUUUAUUUUUCCAAAUUUUGUAGGAUAAAAUAGACUUUAAAUUUAUUUACAUGUAAAGCAAUCAUUUUAUUUAAAUUAUUUAAGGGAUUCUAACUUUACUAGUGUCAAAGUAAUUGAUUGAUACAAGUUUAAAUAUGAAAGUGGUGCAGAGAAUAUAUCAAACUUUUGUAGUGGUUGGAUAUACAUAUAAUUAAAGAGAAGUGAUACAAAGAUAAUUUUUCUAAUUUAAAAAAAAAUGAGGUUGUAUUUGUUUUUUGGGAAAGUGAAAUCAUUACUAAUUUAGAUUGUAGGUUUAUGGACAAAGGGAGGCUUUUUUUUUUCCUCCAAAAAAUAACUCAAGGGGUGAUGGUGACCAGUGACAAAUGACAAAUGGCAAAUGGCUGGUGACACCAAGUGUAGUAAUGACAAUAUAAGUCAUUGUAGAGUGCAUUGUUGUAUCACAUAUAGCCUACUUUUACAACUUGAAUAACUGGUAUUUUACUGGUUGUUCAUUUAAUAAUUUUAAAAAUUAUUUCUAAUGUAAAAAAAUAAAAUAAAAUGAAAAAAUGAGGAAAUUUAUAAACAAUUAACAUAAAAAUAUUUUUAAUUUAAAUGAGAGUUAAAAAAAGUAAUAUAUGUAAUCAUGUUCCAACUCUUUUGGUUAAAUAUUAGAGUAAUGAUAUAGCCACAAACUCUUGUACAAACUUAUUUUAUACAAACUGAUGUGGCGUUAAUUCAUUGGUUGAAUUAAAUAUCUCUUGGUUCACAUGAUUUAUUUCUAUUAUUUUAUAUUUUUAUUCAACCAAUGAAUUAAUACCACAUCAGUUUGUACAAUAUAAAUUUGUACAAAAGUUUGUGGCUGUAUCAUCACUCUAAAUAUUAACACAUUAGGUUGACAUUCUAAGUUAAUUUUAUAUGUCCUUAAUUUCAGUUAUACUUGUCACUAAUAUGUUUAUUUGUUUCCACUUCUAAAUCCACUAGUUCUAUAUUAGAUAUUCCUACUAAGUUCAUUGAAUACUAAUAUUUUAGGUAAGAUUCCAAGUAAAUUCAUUUCUCAUUAGAUAAGUUCCAAAAUUUAGUUUUGCUUUCUCCCCUUUUAGUUCAUUUGUUUCAACUAUUAUUUACUGCUUUUGCAUUCAAUAUUCCAAUUAACUUAGUAAGAUUUUAGUUAUUUGGGUUAAAUACCAAAUUUUUUUGUUAGAAUGGUUCCUGAUUUUCGUUUAUUUUUCUUUGGACAGCUGAUGAUGAUUUGUAGCAUUGAUGUUUGGUUACAGUGAGAAUGAUAGGUUUUGAGUUAAAUUGAUUAAUGCUUUUGUUCUUGAGGAUGCUUCAUGGUUUUAGUUAAGUGCGUGUAGCUAUGUUCAGGAAUUAUUGCUUAGGGGUGAAUUUGCGGAGAAUUUUGCUGAGAAUUAGCUUGAAAUCCGAGGAUAUGCUUCAUGGAAUCAUGGGUUUGGUUGUGUAACUAAUGGGACUAUUGUGUUUGAAUUCUUUUUAUUAUGACUGGGCUGAAUUUGGUUGAGAUUAGCAUUUAUAUUGAAGCAUGAUUGUUGGUUGUUUACCGAGGUUGGAUAUUUUGAAGAUAUUAAGUUUGUGAAAACUACUAGCUGGUAGUUUAUGGUGGUCUAGAUCGGAUACUGUAGUUUAAGGGAUCAAAAGGUGAGAAUUUUGGAGUUCUAAAUGGUUAACAAAGAAACAGUUAUCUGGAUGUUGAUGGUUCGUUUCCUAUGAUAGAUGAGGCAUACGUGCCCGAGGAGAAUGUAGGAGGCCCCAUUCUGGAGGACCAAUGACCAGAGUCAUUGCAGGAUGGUCCAACAUUAGAGGGGGACUUAAACAGAGCUCGCAAGAAUUAUUGAAAGUAUGCCACGACCAGCCAUUAUGUUCUCUUCAAUGUACCACUAGCAAAACAGGUAAAGUCCAAGCAAGUUCCAAUAAUGUGGAUAGAAGAUGGCUAGGAGGAGGUGGUGCACCCCCAUGAAGACCGGACUGGUUAUAAAAGCUAAUGUUGCGAGCAAGGAAUAUACCAGAACCUGAUUGAUUUGGGUAGUUCAGUCAACAUUCUUUUCAAAGUCACUUUGGAUGAAAUGGGAAUAGCAGACCUGAAAAUGGAGCCCAGCAAUACCUCAUUAAAAGGGUUUGGAGGAAGAAGAUUGAUGCCGAUGGGAGUAGUGGAGCUACUUACCAUUAGUUUGAAGGCCUUUGGAAGAACCAUGAAGUUGGACUUUGUUGUAGUAGAUAAGGACAUCCGAUACCAGAUAAUACUCGAAAGGCCUUUUCUGAGGAUCAGCAAAUCUGUUAUAUCCAACUAUUAUCUGGCACUUAAAUACCAAGUAAAUGGAAUGGUUUGGGAGUUGUAAAGUGCGGCCACUCUUGAUGUUAUUUACAUCCAAAAUCAAUUUUAUGAUAUUAAUACUUUUGGUCAAAUAUUUGCCAUCAAAGAUAAUGAUGGAACUGUUAUACGAGUCACGAAAUUACCUACCGAAUUUAUUGAAGAUGCUGUGGAGUACUUGUAUGUGGUUGAAUCUGAUGAUGGUACAUUAUCUGUGGUUUCACGGAGGGAAGUACAAGUACCACCUACUCAUCUGGGCUACCCAACUGAAGAGAACACUUUCAAAACUUCGGGAUUUCAGGUUUUUGAGGUCGAUCUAAGUACUAAUAAAUGGACGAAUAUCAAGAACUUGAGUAAUAGAUCCCUCUUCUGGGCUUUUAUUCUUCACAAUCUGUUGAUGCAUCGAGGAAUUAUCAGUGUAAACCCAACUGCAUAUAUUUCGCUGAUGAUUUUGUUGACUCCUAUUAGUGCCUGACCAAGGAGGAAUCUGUUGAAGCAGGAGUUAGAGAUACUGGAAUAUAUAAAACGGAAGAUGGAAGCAUCGAGCCGUUCUUUAAAGAGUAAUCCCUUCCAUGCAUUUAAUCCACUUAUGUGAGUUGAACAAUGUUCGUAAUCGUUGGGUUUGGUAUUUAAUUAGUUUUCAAUUCAAUUACUUCAAAUUUUCAGCAGCAACUUUUAGUCUUCAUUGGAGUAACAUUGUUUAUGUUUUAGUCUUCAUUGACAACUUAAUGCUUUGAUUUAUUGGAAUUACUUUUGUUUGUUAUUUGCCUUCAAUUACAAGGUAAUCCAAUUGAUUAUAUAUUCUUGUUUCUACCAAUGUGCAGCCAAUAAAAAUAUCUCCCUAAAAAAUAGCACUGAGCAUUGAAAAGACCAUUACCACAAAUAGCAUAUUGGAACCAACAUACUGUAUUUACCAUAUGUUAUCUAGAUUUUAAUCUUCUCGUGCCAACAAAUUUGCAUUAUAUUACUAGGUCUCCUCAUAUAAAUUGGUUGAUCAAAUGCUCAAUAAGCAUAUCUAAGAGACAUAGAUGUCUGAUUACUCGAUGAAAAUGGGAAUUUUUUUUUUAAUAUUGAGCAAUUAUUGAAUAAGAAAUAAUAUGCAGCUAUAUCUAAUUAUACAUUAUUAUAAAUAGAAAAAUUAUAUUUGGCAGAAAUUCGAUUUACCGAAUUUCUUUGGUUUAAACAAUGGCUGAAACAUGACCAUCCCCCAUCCGGACAAGGAUUGUUUAAUUUUAACAAAAAUAUUGAUUUAAAAAAUUUUAAUAGAUGAAAUUCCGGGCUAAAUAUCAGUGUUCUCAUCGGUUACUCUUUCGGGUUCACUGAAACAUGAACAUGUGAUUCACAAUUACACAUUUACGUAUAGUAAAUCUACUGUUUACAAUUACAUACUCAAAACCAAAACUUUUUACCUUACUCGUUGCUAAGGUUUAUUUUAUUUUCUUAAUCUUCUAUGAUAAAUUUAUUGAAAUAACUAAAAUAUCCAUCAAAUUAUGUAUUAUACAUCAACAUUUUAAUAUAUCUAGGGAUGGUAAAAAUCCCCACGGGGACGGGUACCCUCGGAGAUUUUCCCCAUUCGGGGAGGGUAUGGGGAUAAUUUCAUACCCAAUUUCUUAUUCGAGGAAGGGACGGAAAAAUUUUUUACCCACUUUCUUAUUCGGGGAGGGGACGGGGAUGAGGUGGAAUCCCCAUCCCCUACCCAUUUCCUCAUUUUAAUUUUUAAUUUUAUUUUAAUUUUUUAAAAUUACUAGUAAAUAAAUUAUAAAAUUGUAAAUAUUGAUAAAAAUAAAAAAUAUCAAAAUAUUUAUAUUAUUAAACUUUUAGGCCUAAUUAACUAAUUAAAGUCUUAAAUUUUUAUUUAGGACAUUAAAAAGACCGAGUAGAUUCUAUUAACCCAAAAUUUUUUAAUUUUAAUAUUCUUUAAAUAUUUUAAACUUAAAUCUAUUUUUUAUUUAUUUUUAGAUGUUAUAAUUGCCCACAUCGAAUCACAAUUUUAAUAUCUAAUCUAAUCUAAUCUAAUCUAAUAUUUACUCUUGAUUUGCUCCGAUUUAACUAUUGUGUUGUAAAGGGAAUAGUCCACAUUUAUAAAGUGUCCACGCCACCAUUGAAAAAGUUAAUUUUGAAUCUAAAUUCAAUUUUAUUUGUAACAAUUUUGUAUUAGACUAUUAAUUUGUUCAUGAUAGUUUGUAAAAGAAGUUUGUAUCCCUUGCAUGUUGCGUUACUUACUAAUUUAAUGUAUGUGACUUUUGUAAUGGAUAUUAAUGUAAGAUAUAUUUCGAACUUUACUUUUAUUUGAAUUUUUUAUUUUAAUAUGAUUAACUCAAAAUCGAAAAUAAAAAAAUAUAUAUAUUAGUUAUUCGGGGAUCGGGGACCCUCGGGGAUCCCCUGUUAUUAUUCGGGGAGGGGAUGUGGAUUCUCUCAAGUAAUUCUAACGGGGACGGGGAGAGGACGGGGACAUACGCAAAAUAUCGGGGAUGAAUACGGGGAGAUUGGUCCCCUCCCCUCCCCUCCCCAUUGCCAUCCCUAAAUAUAUCUAAAUUGAGUUGAAAUUCUAAAUUGUUUCUGAUAGAAAAUUCUGGAAGGAUGUUUAUGCCUAAAUAUCUGAGCUAAUUUUUAUGUUCAAAUAAAAAUUAUUUGAAAUUGAAAGCCAAUAAAUUGAAAGCAUAUGAUUUAUUUCCAUUAAGCACCAAGAUUCCUAGAAUAAAGAUAAACCAAUACAUUUCUUUCUCUCCCAUAAGACUUUUUUUAAUUUUUUUAAUUUUUUAAACAAUGAAGAAAAAGAAGAAAUAAAGAUAAUUAAUUAAUUGGGUCCCCAGCAAAUUAGGUGGAGGAGCAUCUCAGCCUUCUCUUGUUGCCUCCUCUUUUUCUUGAUCUGGUCUCCAUUAACCCUCUUGAUACCCUGAUUGUUGUUAUUAAUAUUAUUAACGCCACCAGCAAGACUCCUUACAAUAGAAUUAUUGUUGCCCUUAUUAUAGCCACAAGAUUCUUGCUGCACAUACUUGGUGAAUGCUGAAUCAAACUUGCAAACUCUGCCACCGUUGCUGCUCAUGUCUCUUACUAUACUCUCCUCACCCCCAAAUACUUCUUUUAAUGAUUAUAAACGAUAAAAUAUUCAGUUGGGUGCUGGAAGAAAAAUUGAUGGGCAACUUAUAGAGAGCAGAGAGGUUGUUGAGUUCUUGGACUUUUAAGUGACACUUUGUUCGUUGGAUUGGGGUACUUAUAUAGAGAAAUAACAGAGAGAUGUUAAAAAGGAGGAAUUAAUUAAAAAAAAAAACUGGGGUUCUGUUUGUUUUUCGGGAAAGUGAAACCAUUCGUGGGUUUGGAUCCCAGGCCUAUGGACAGAGAGAUGCUGGUUUUUUUUUUUUUCAAAAAAUAAUUCAAUGGGUGGUGACGAAUGACGAAUGAAAGCUAAGCUUUACUAUAAAAAAAAAAUAAUAAUAACGAAAGACAAGUGACAAAUGGCUGCUGAGCGUAGUAAUGACUAUACGGUUUUGCUGACUUUGUGGGCAAGUACUUUUCAUAAGCACAUGGUUAUCCUUACAGAUUCUGUAACAUACGCACCCAAUGCAUGCACCACACCUGUCCUGCAUAUGGAGAAAAAAGGUGCAAUUAUUUUUAUUUGGUAGCUAGCUAACCAAUCAAAAACUGGCUAAGUUGGAUCUGUAUGUUACAGAAUCUGUAACUUAGCCAGCUCCGCGGUUAUAUAUGUAUACUUACACGAACAACUUUUCUAUUGACGCUUUUGAUCCGCGUCGGCUUUCGGAAUAUGAGAUGUAAUUGAAGCUGGAACUUUUUCUAGAGUGAAAGAGAGGGCUACAAUUACCAUAUUGCCACCAAGAUUAAAUUAUGAAAUAAAUAUUGUAUUGUAGCAAUUUGCCUCCUUUAUUGAAUUAUUGUAAUUGGAAAUUUAUGAUUCUGCAAUCAGUAUUGUCCAAAUAUCACUCAAAAUAAUAGAGAAGAAUCGCAGAGGAUUCAAAUAUUGAAAGUAUUCAGUCUCCACAAUUUACGUUAACUUACUAUUAAAUGCAAUCCGUAGUUUAUGCACGAGAACAGCAUAGUGCAGCUCAGUGGCGGACCUACACCUGGGCACUAGUCCAGAAAAAAUCAUUUAAAUAAUAUAAUUUUGAUUAAUUUAUUUAUGGAUAGAAUUUCUAUUUUAUUUUUAUAUAUGUCCCUAACUUAGUUACCCUUAUGUUUUAUCAAUUUCAUAUAAUAAUAGAAUUUUUAUUUUAUUUUCAAAUAUGUCCCUAACUCAAUUAUAUUAUUUUUCCAACUGAAAUUGGCGACUCAUUUUAUAAAAUGAUUAAAUUAUAUAUUUAUUGAAUGGAUUGAAAACGCUAGGGGUCUAAAAGGUUAUUACUGCUUUAAUCUAUUUUUAAAAAAUUCCAAUUGAAAAGAAAGUAUGUUAAUAUAAUAUAGCAUCGUUACUAGUAUCAAAAUAACUUGAAAAAAACAUAUAGUAACAAUUAUCAACAUUUUUAUAAAUUUUUUAUGUAAAUUUUGAUAUUUUAUUAUUAGAUACGUUAACUAAGAGGACAAGUUAGAAAAUAAAAUUUGAGUAUUUUGAAUAGUUUUUUUAAUAGAAGAAUCAUCAACAUCUAAUUUUUCAAAGAGAGUCAAAGUGCCUCUGGCAAACAAAUAACGGCACCCAAAUACUUUUUUAUUGGGUUGAAUUUAGUUUAGUAUUUAAAAUUUUGACUAAUAAUAUUUUUAAAAUUUAAAAUGAUGAAUAAAUUUUAAUUGUUUAAUUUAUUUAAGCCUGAUAAUUAAGUACUUUUCAAAUAUAAAAGUUCUACUUACAAUUUUUAAUUGAUUGUAAUUACAUACGAUAAAGAAUACAUCUUUUUGUUAAUAAUGAAAAAAUGAAAUGCAAAAUAACUAAUUAAUUGGGAGCCUAGCAAAUAUCCCUCAUUUGUUUUAAUAUUAUUCAUCUCAUCUCCAUUAACCCUCUUGAUAGCCUCAUUAUUGUUAUUGUUAUUAACGCCACCAACUUCAAUUACCAAUUUGCCACCAAUAUUAAAUUACGAAAUAUUGUUGCAAUUUCCCUCAUUGUUUUAAUUAUAUGAUGGCAAAAUUUAUGAUUCUAUUUUUAAUAUAGUCCGAAAAUCAGUCAAAAUAGAAGAAUGUCGUUAUUCAGUUAGUACCCACAUUUUACUUUACAACAUUAUACCCUAAUAAUCUUUGUUUUUUUUUUAAUCGUGAAUUAUUUUUAAAAAAAAUAAUUAAAAGUACAUAGAUGCUCUUUCAUUCACCUUUAUAUUUCAAUUAUCACAAUUCACAAGAUAUAUAUCACCUAUGAAUAAAAGAAUAGUAAUAAAAAUAAUUACAUCAAUAGCUAGUUUUAAAUUUAAAAAGUCUAAUUCAAAUUUUGUCAAUCAAAUAAUACGUUUCAGACCUUUGGAUUUGAGUUCCAUUUUUUUUUUUUUUGGUGAAAUGAUUUGUUGUAGUUGAUGGUCUCUUAGUUAUUGCUGAUGAUCUCUUAGUUUUUGCAUUCGCAGUACCAGCAAAAAGAAAAAGAACCAACAUAAUAAAAAUAAAAAGUAAAAAUAAAAAAGAUUUCAUGCCACCAUGAAGAUAUGUCAUAUUGUGUGUUACGUCAUUUGUGAAAGCAUAAAGGAGAGGUUAAAGUAGAGAAAUGUGGAUUUGAUUUUGUUUAAGGAUAGUUUUUUUUAAGAGGUAUGCGAAAAGAUAAAUUAGAUUCAUAAAUAUUUAAUAGUAUUUUUUCAAAAGAGAGCAUAUUUUUCAUUAAAGAAGUAUAACAGCAUUACAAUGACAUAAAGUCAUGAUUCAUUCAACAUACAUACAUAAGAUCACAUACAAAGCUCAUCUUUUUUAGCUGAGCUUUUAAUGGUCGCCUAAAAAUAAAAGGGCUUUGAUUUCCUCAAUGCAUAUGAAUUGAUAAAGUGAAUUAUCUGAAAGUAACUAGAAAAGGGCUUUUGAUUUCCUUAAUGCAUAUGAUUUUAUAAAGUAAAUUAUCAGUAGCCAGAGCCAUGGCUGAGUAGAGUUGGAUUUAUUUCUUAACUCAAUCAGUUAAAGUUCUUUUAGUAGAGAUAAUAAUAGAUCUAUGUAUGAAGAUGUUCAUUUUAUUGAUGAAUUCUUUACAGAGUAUGAAUUUUCACCAUUAUUGUUGUGCUCUCCAAGUAAUUGAGAGUAGAUCUCUAAUGGUAUGAUUGUGUAGCCCCAGAUGUAACCGUUAAAUCAGCCUUGACUGUACUUUGUACUGUAUGUACAACGUCUGCAGAGAUCAGUUUGUGUUCAAAUGCCCAGCUCCUGGCAUUUUACUUCAUCAACAAGGCACCUAUAGCUUGUCUCAUAAGUUUCUUCUCUAAGGUGGUUAAUUAAACAGUUUCGGGCUUCCUUGCAUUUGUUCUUAAGUUUGUCUAUUCGGCUGGAGUGAGCUGAGGCCCGUGUUGUUCUUUUCUAUACAAUUAUGUGAACGACUUUGCAAUGGGCUAUCUCUUGAGGGGGGAGGUAAAAAGAAAAUUUCUACGGGCCAAGGACAAUUCAAUAGAGGAAUUUAGGUUAUGUUUGGUUUGAAGAAAAUGGAGGAGAGGAAAAGAGUGGAAUGGAGCGAAAGGGAGAAGAACGGAAUGGAGAAAAAUAGUGAAAUUAGAUUUUUGUUGUUUGGUUUGAUAUAAAAUUUGAUAAAGAAAGGAAUUAUAAUUUUUUUUAAAACAAAUUUAUCUUUUACUUUAAAAAUUAAACUAUUUAUGUUAAUAAUAUAUAUAUAUAUAUAUAAUAAAAUGGCAGUCCAGUUGCCAGCGGUGAAGGUCCGGCGAUGUCCGGUGGAGGUCCAACGACUUUUUGGUGAAAGUCCGGCUACAUCCGGCGACUUUCCGGCGGAGGUCUGGUGGAGGUCCAACGACUUCCCGGCAAAAGUUCGGCUACAUCCAGCGACUUCCCAGCAGAGGUCCAUUUAUAAUAUUAAAUCAAUAAAAUAACAUUAUAAAUAAUUAUUAUUACUAGCAUUAAACAAGUUAAAAAGUUGAAGGGUAAUUUUAAUUUUAAAAACUUUAGUUUAUACCAUAAGAGAAAUUUAAAUUCUUCAUUACUAGGUGAAGAAUUCAAAUUCUAUAUUACGAUGGAUAUUAAAUUCUAAUGGAAAUUAAAUUCUUAUAAAUUUUGUCAAACCAAACAAUGAAAAUAAAAAGAGAAUUUAAAUUAUUUUCCUCUCCUCGAUACUCUCCUCCCAACCAAACACCACCUUAAAGUAAUUUUUCUAAAUUUAACAGUACCAUAAAUUUUGUAUAACAAUGGAUAAUUUGAUGCUUCAAGAAAGCAAUAGCUAACAAGAGAAAAAAAGAAGUGAAAUGAUAGUCCAAGAAAUCCCAUUGAAUAGUAUAUCUGUUUACCCAUGGACGGCGCUGGCAACAGUGCCGUUUCUUCUGCUGAAACACUCAAAAGCAAUGACACAAAACACUGCCACCACAAACAUCAAAACAACUCCCUUCAACGUUGCUACAAUUUUUAACAAAUGAAUUAGGCAUUGUUCAAUAGUGUGGUUGGACAAUUAUAUCUUAAAAAUUACAAAAUUAAAGCAUUUAGUAAAUACCUAUAAAUGUGGUUUAGAUGUUAAAUUCUUUUAUUUAGCACUUGUAUGAUAAAAAAAAAAUAUCUAUCAUAUUUCUUACAAUUUUUAUCAAAAUAUUUAUUUAAAAAUGAUAUUCACAAUACACUAAUAACUUUUAUUUCAUAGUUACAAUUUUUUUUUACCGUAACUGUAAUUUUUAACUUACAGCACCUCAAUACCAAACAAAGACUUAGAAUACGCUAUAAGUGUCAAAAGCGGAAUCUUUAGCCCUAUAUCCAUCUUUAGUCUUUUCUUCUAUUAUAUGUUAGCUUAUCUUGCUCUCCACGCAAAUUGUUCAAAAAGUUAAAGCCAUUACUAUUACUCUAGUAAUAGUCACUAAGAGUUCUAUUAUAGAAUUUGAAUGUGAGAAAAGAACAGUUAUACCCUCAAAUUUUGAAAAAAUGGUCGUAGAGAACCCUAAUUUUUUUUAAAUUGAUGUUAAGACUUCCUUUUAACUAUAAUACUCUUUUGAUAGAGUAAUUAAAAAAUAGACUUUAAAUUUUCUUAAUAAAUAUAAACUCAAUAUAAAUAAUAUAAUCUUUCUAGUAAACUAAUAAUAUUAGUAUGUUUUUAAUAUCUAAAACAAUUUAAAUGUGUAAAUUAUUACAUUUAUUUUAAUAAUAUUUUUGUAUUUAUUAUAAAGAUUUUAAAUAAAUAAUUAGGUAUUAGAUGGAACCAUAAUAUUUACUAUAAAUCACUAUAACAAUUUUUUUUUUUUUUUUGUAAAUCCUUAUACGUACGUAAAUCCUCAAAAUAUACUUAACUUACUUGUUGUAUAUGUUGUUUUUCAUUGAUCAUCUUUUGAUUUCUUUGUUCGAGCAUGAAUUCGAGGGAAAAAAAAUUAUCUUAACUUUUAGACAAAUAAAUAAACUAUCUUAAUUUUUAAGAGAAGUCACAUGAAACAUCAGGUAUCCGUAGGCAACUGCGAGUCUGAAUGUAAUAAAUGGAACAUCUCAAGUUUGAUUAGGAAGUCACUUCCUUUCUCCACGUAAGAUUCCUAGUGAUGAAAGAGGACAUUGCUUUCUAAGUAAGACGUGGGUCUCAACGGAUCAUAGCUUUCGUUUUGCAUUUUAGCCCAAGUUGCAUUUGUUGUGCAGAUAAAAUAGGUUGUUGAAUAAAAAAGUAAUUUAGUGUUUGGUAAAUUAUAUUACUGUGAGUUUAAAAAAUAAUGUACGGUUAGCAAAUUUUUAAAGUAUUGUUUUAUUAGGUAAUGACCAAAAUAAACGUAAUUUUAAAUUAUUUUUAUUUUUUAGAGUAUAUUUAAUAAUUUUUAGACAUUUCUUUUUCUUUUUAAAAUACAUAAAGUUACAUAAAGUAAAAAAAAAAUCAAUUAUAUAAAAUUUAAGGAACUUCAUAAUAUGCUACAUAAAAUAUGAUAAAAAUUCAUAUCAAUACAUAAUCCAAAUAAAAAUAAAAAAGUAAUAUGUAUUACAUUCAUAUUUAACUUAUUGCAAUAAACACUUUGUAUGUAGAAAAAAUAUAUAUGAUUGAAUGUUAAAAAUCAAUAGUUAUGAAAUUGAUUUUAAAAGUUGUGGUUAAAUUCCAUUCAAAAUUGUUCAUAGUUUAAAGAAAAUUUACGUAAUCAUAUGUAUGUAAGUCUUAUUAAAUUUUAUAAUAGAAGAUAAAAGUAAAAUAUGAAAAAUAUAAAUUUACCGGAUCAAAACUUUAAAAUUGUAAAGGUAAUUUGAUUAUACUUGUAAUAUGAUAUCUAAUGACUUAUACAUUAGGUAUAUGAAAAAAUAGGACAUAGUUAUCUUUUUGUUAAAAUAUUAAGGUUAUAACAGAAAAUUUUCAAAAGAAUGAUGACUUAUUGAAUAAGUUGUUUAUGAAAAACAAUCAUCUACUUAUUUUUAAAAAUUGUUAUUAAAAUAAAAAAAUUAUAAAAUAAGUAAAUUUUAUAAUUUUUAUCAAAAAUUAUGAAAUAAAAAUUUUAUUAAAUUUGGCCACAAUCGGGGUCUUAGCAUGGCAAAUUUAGUAAGUGAUUAGUGUUUUUUUCCUUGAAAUAAAAAUUAAAUAAAUAAUUAAAAGCUUGUUUAGAAAAGAAAAAAAUAAAUAAAUGAAAAUUAGUUUUGUACUUUCUGGCAAGUCACGUGAAAACUGAAAGUCAGUAGCCAAGCAAGUCUUUCAAGGCAAUCGAAAGAGUCGUCCAUCCCAAAGACUCAGAUCUUGGCCGUUGAAUGUUUCUACAAAUACGUGAGAUUCAUAGUCCGACUGCAAAAGUAAAACCGCUUUCCUUCUCCAAUUAUGAGAAGGUGAGACCAAAGCAGGACCCACCAAAGCAAAUAUAAAUGCCACAGAGAUUUGCUCUAAUUUGCAAUCGUGAAGAGAAGAACAGCCUACUAAAACAAUGGCCUACUCGCCCACAACAUUGCUUCAGGAUUUUGUUCCUUUUGCCGGGGUUCGCACUUUAGAAAGAUCGGCUACAGUUCCUUGGCGUACGCUUCCCCCUAAAAAAUAUUCAAUUCGUUUCUCCAACUCCAAGCGGCGCUGGAAAUCGGCAUCGGCAUCGGCUGCGGUUUCAGAUAAACGUAGCAAGUGCAAUCCUUUGCUUAUGCUGCCGCCCAAAAACGGUUCCAUUAGUUUCUUGGAUCUUGCGAAGGGCAGCAGCAGCAGCCUCCUCCGAGUAAAUUUACCUGAAGAUCCUUACCCUGAAAAGUAUGAAAACGGUAGGUACUUUUCUUCACGGGGUUGGCUUAUUAAAUUUAUCGAUUCAUGCAUCAGUCCCAAUUAUAUGACUCUUGUGCAUCCUUUUUCACGCCUUCAACUUAAACUGCCUUCCAUCGAAACCUUGGUAGCUUCUGAUCCGUAUGAGCAUAAUCGGCAUUGUGAAGAGGGUUGCUUUAUUACUUUCAUAUUAACCAAAUGCGUAUUAUCUUCGUCCAACCCCGAUUCAUUACAAGCCAUGCUUCUUUACGGAAGAGACGGGAAUUUGGGCUGCGCUAGGCCAGGCGAUCAAGUUUGGAGAAAAAUUAACACGUCUAAUAAUGCUAAACAUUUUGUUGAUGCUAUUUACUUCCAAAAUCAAUUUUAUGCUAUCAAUGCUUUUGGUCAAAUAUUUGCCGUCAAAGAUGAUGACAGUACUGCUACACGAAUCGCGGAAUUACCUGCCGAAUUUAUUGAAGAUGUUGUGGAGUAUUUGUAUAUGGUUGAGUCUGAAGAUGGCACAUUAUUUGUGGUUUCAAGGAGGGGAGUACAAGUACCACCUACUCAUCUAGGCUACCUAACGGAGGAGAACACUUUCAGAACGUUGGGGUUUCAGGUUUUUGAGGUCGAUCUAAGUACUAAUAAAUGGUCGAAGAUCCAGAAUUUGGGUAACAGAUCCCUCUUUUUGGGUUUUAAUUCUUCACUGUCUGUUGACGCAUCAAGUAAUUCUCAGUGUAAACCCAAUUGCAUAUAUUUCACUGAUGAUUUUGUCGACUCUUAUUGGUACCUGGCCGCCGAGGAAUACGUUGAAGCAGGAGGUAAAGAUACUGGAAUUUAUAACAUGAAGGAUGGAAGCAUUGAGCCAUUCUUUGAGACCGAUCCCUUCCAUCCAUUUAAUCCACUUAUGUGGCUUGAACAAUGGUCUUAGUCGUUGGGUUUGGUCUUCAGUUUUCAUUUCAAUUACUUUAGAGUUUCGGUAUAUCAUUGUCCCUGUUUUAAAUAGAUUAAUUUGGAAUGACAUUUGUUUUAUGUUUGGUUUCGUUGACUACUUUAAUGCUUGGUUUAUUGGAAUUAAUUUUGUUCGUGAUUUGCCUCCAAUUACAAGGUAUUAACCAUCCUAGUUUCUAUCAACGUGCAGCCAAUCAAAAUAUCUUCCUAGAAAAUAGAACUGAGCAUUGCAAAAAAACCAUUACUCCAUAUUUUAAUCUUAUAGUGCCAAAAAAUUUGCAUUACUAGGUCUUCUCUUACAAAUGUGUUGAUCAAAUACUUCGUAACAAUAUCUAAGAGACACAUAUGUCUCAUUACUGCUAAAAAAUUAUUUUUUUAAUAAUAUUAUGAUUCUGUUUGGGAUUAGUAAAAGUUGGCCGCUAGUUGUUUGGAAGAUAUAUUAAUAUGAUUUUUUACUUUUAUAAUGAAACAUAUAUUAUAUUUUUAAAAAUUAUUUAAAAGUUAUAUUUAUUAUAUACUAUUAACUUUUAUUUUAUAAUUAUAGUUUUUUUUAAAUAGUUGUAAUUUAAAAAUUAUCGCAUUUCAAUCACAAAGAGGACCUAUAUUAGGUAAUUAUUGAAUAAGAAAUAAUAUGUAGUUAUAUCUAAUUAUACAUUAUUAUAAAUAGAAAAAUGAUAUUGAUAUUUUGCCUGAAAUUCGAUUUACUAAAUUUCUUUUGCCAACACCGAGUUUCUUUUGUCUGGACAAUUACUGUGGCAGGACCAUCUCCCAAUUCGGAGGAUGAUUGUUUAAUUAAUUUAGAUAAUUUUAAUACAUGAAAUUUCACAAUGUCAUUAUUCUUUUCGUUUACUCUUCUAUUUUCUUAUCAUGCCUUCGGGGUUCCUGAAAUCUAAACAUUUAAUCCACAACUAUACUUUUACAGGCAGUAAAUCCACUGUUUACAAUAUCAUUCACAAAACGAAGACUUUUUACUCUACUCGUUGCUAAGCUUUAAUUUAUUUUAUUUUUUUAAUCUUCUAUGAUAAAUUUAUUGAAAUUACUAAAAUAUCCAUCAAAUUAUAUAUUUUACAUCAAAUUUUUAGUAUACCUAAAUUGAGUUGAAAUUCUAGAUUGUUUCUAAUAGAAAAUUAUGGAAGGAUGUUUGGAUGUGAAUGACCUUUUUUUUUUAAUGCCUAAAUAUCGGAGCUAAUAUUUAUGUUUAAAUAAAAAUCAUUUGAAAUUGAAAAUCCAAUACAUUGAAAGCAUAUGAUUUAUUUCCAUAAGCACCAAGAUUCCUAUAAUAAAGAUAAACCAAUACAUCUCUUUCUCUCCCGUAUGAUUUUUUUUUUAAAUAAUGAAGAAAAAGAAGAAAUACAAAUAAUAAAUUAAUUGGGUCCCCAGCAAAUUAGGUGGAAGAGCAUCUCAGCCUUCUCUUGUUGCCUCCUUUUUUUCUUGAUCUCAUCUCCAUUAAACCUCUUGAUACCCUGACUGUUAUUAUUAUUACUAACGCCACCAGCAAGACUCCUUACAAUAGAAUUAUUGUUGCCCUUAUUAUAGCCACAAGAUUCUUGCAGCACAUACUUGAUGAAUGCUGAAUCAAACUUGCAAACUCUACCACCGUUGCUGCUCAUGUCUCUUGCUACACUCUCCUCACCCCAAAACACUUCUUUUAAUGAUUAUAAACGAUAAACUAUUAAGUUGGGUUCCGGAAGAAAAAUUGAUGGGCAACUUAUAGAGAGUAGAGAGGUUGUUGAGUUCUUGGACUUUUAAGUGACACUUUGUUCGUUGGAUUGGGGUACUUAUAUAGAGAAAUAAUAGAGAGAUGUUAAAAAGGAGGAAUUAAUUAAAAAAAAAAACUGGGGUUCUGUUUGUUUUUCGGGAAAGUGAAACCAUUCGUGGGUUUGGAUCCCAGGCCUAUGGACAGAGAGAUGCUGGUUUUUUUUUUUUUUUUGGUUUCAAAAAAUAAUUCAAUGGGUGGUGACUAAUGACGAAUGACAAAUGGCUGCUGAGUGGAGUGAUGACUAUACGGUUUUGCUGAC
RNAcentral lists this long non-coding RNA (16155 nucleotides) under Citrus maxima (pomelo). RNAcentral's name for it is "long non-coding RNA (CMAX_LNC000798)". The record is from RNAcentral. Lineage: Eukaryota; Viridiplantae; Streptophyta; Magnoliopsida; Sapindales; Rutaceae.